Molecule: ribosomal RNA, 253 nt
Filed under: uncultured bacterium
Lineage: Bacteria
Description: partial 16S ribosomal RNA
Rfam family: Bacterial small subunit ribosomal RNA
Source: RNAcentral
UACGUAGGGCGCAAGCGUUGUCCGGAAUUAUUGGGCGUAAAGAGCUCGUAGGCGGUUUGUCGCGUCUGUCGUGAAAGCUUGGGGCUUAACCCCAAGUCUGCGGUGGAUACGGGCAGACUAGAGGCGGGUAGGGGAGAACGGAAUUCCCGGUGUAGCGGUGAAAUGCGCAGAUAUCGGGAGGAACACCGGUGGCGAAGGCGGUUCUCUGGGCCUGUACUGACGCUGAGGAGCGAAAGCGUGGGGAGCGAACAGG